AGUGAACGCUGGCGGUAGGCCUAACACAUGCAAGUCGAACGGCAGCACAGUAAGAGCUUGCUCUUACGGGUGGCGAGUGGCGGACGGGUGAGGAAUACAUCGGAAUCUACUUUUUCGUGGGGGAUAACGUAGGGAAACUUACGCUAAUACCGCAUACGACCUACGGGUGAAAGCCGGGGAUCUUCGGACCUUGCGCGAUUGAAUGAGCCGAUGUCGGAUUAGCUAGUUGGCGGGGUAAAGGCCCACCAAGGCGACGAUCCGUAGCUGGUCUGAGAGGAUGAUCGGCCACACUGGAACUGAGACACGGUCCAGACUCCUACGGGAGGCAGCAGUGGGGAAUAUUGGACAAUGGGCGCAAGCCUGAUCCAGCCAUACCGCGUGGGUGAAGAAGGCCUUCGGGUUGUAAAGCCCUUUUGUUGGGAAAGAAAAGCAGCAGGUUAAUACCCCGCUGUUCUGACGGUACCCAAAGAAUAAGCACCGGCUAACUUCGUG
This 492-nucleotide ribosomal RNA is filed under the name uncultured bacterium. RNAcentral's name for it is "partial 16S ribosomal RNA". It matches the Rfam family "Bacterial small subunit ribosomal RNA", at positions 29 to 507 of the family's 1533-position model. The record is from RNAcentral.